GACGAACGCUGGCGGCGUGCUUAACACAUGCAAGUCGAACGGAAAGGCCCCUUUGGGGGUGCUCGAGUGGCGCACGGGUGAGUAACACGUGCGUAACCUGCCCUUGACUUCGGGAUAACUUCAUGAAACUGGGGCUAAUACCGGAUAGGAAUCCUUGCUGCAUGGUGGGGGUUGGAAAGCUUCGGCGGGUUUGGAUGGACUCGCGGCUUAUCAGCUUGUUGGUGGGGUAGUGGCUUACCAAGGCUUUGACGGGUAGCCGGCCUGGGAGGGCGACCGGCCACAUUGGGACUGAGACACGGCCCAGACUCCUAAGGGAGGCAGCAGUGGGGAAAAUUGGACAAUGGGCGGGAGGCUGAUGCAGCAACGCCGCGGGCGGGAUGAAGGCCUUCGGGUUGUAAACCGCUUUCAGCAGGGGAGAAGCUUGUGGUGACGGUACCUGCAGAAGAAGCACCGGCUAACUACGUG
RNAcentral lists this ribosomal RNA (465 nucleotides) under uncultured bacterium. RNAcentral's name for it is "partial 16S ribosomal RNA". It matches the Rfam family "Bacterial small subunit ribosomal RNA", at positions 28 to 507 of the family's 1533-position model. The record is from RNAcentral.